GUGAACAUUUCCACAUUCUCAAUUGGUUUUACAUGAAUUUGUAGGCAUUGACCAUACAAUGCAGUCUGUGACUACAAUUCAACCAAAUACUUAUCUGCACCCCUGAACAAUUUGGGAUUGACCUAUUGAGCACAUAAACUAUUUUUUUAACCUAUUGAAUACUUAAUAAAAUCAUAAAAAUUGAACACAAAUUGGUACAAUCAGCACAAAUAGUGUAAUCAUGAGCCAAGGAGCAAGUAAACAGCAAAAGAGGGAUCCAACAUGGCAGAUUUAAUGGCUGUGAUAUGACUAAAAGAUCCAGCUGCUGCAAAGAAAAGAGAAAAUCUCCUUCCCCUUCAUCUUUCUCUCGCAAUCCUUUUCCAGCCCUUUUCACUUCCAUCACAAUUUUUCUCCAUGAAAGCUCCAGUAAGGUUUUUCAAAUGAUAUCUCCUCACAACUUCAACAAAUUUGCAAUUUAAAUUUAAACAAACCAAAACAUAGAAUUUUGUUCACUAAUCUGAGCUCCAUUGCCAAAUUGGCAAUUCAUUUUUUUUUUUCCGCAGAAAUUUUGCAUUUUAUAAGGCUUUGCAUUCCAUGAAACCCAGAACCAUCUCUCUGCCAUGUUGGUUGUGCUUUGUUCAUUCCAAUGCCUCGCAACCAUUGCCACAACCACAUCCCACUUUCAAGGACUUAUUCUGCUCUGAGUCCACCAAUGACAAGUAGGAGAUGAAGGCAAUAAACAACAGUGUAAACUUUUCACCCUCUGAUUUUGAUUUUGAAGAUGAUCAGAACAAGUAGAGUGUUCAAGCUACGAAAGAAAUUGGAAGAAAAAACUCCCUCUGCCUUAUGAUCCCUUUAACAAGAAGCCUGUCAUCAAGGAGCACAAUGACCCCAAAGACUGAACUUCAAUUCAUCUUCCAUAAGAUG
This 906-nucleotide unclassified non-coding RNA is filed under the name Hevea brasiliensis (rubber tree). The record is from RNAcentral. Lineage: Eukaryota; Viridiplantae; Streptophyta; Magnoliopsida; Malpighiales; Euphorbiaceae.